This 505-nucleotide ribosomal RNA is filed under the name uncultured bacterium. RNAcentral's name for it is "bacterial SSU rRNA". It matches the Rfam family "Bacterial small subunit ribosomal RNA", at positions 791 to 1299 of the family's 1533-position model. The record is from RNAcentral.
UAGUCCACGCCGUAAACGAUGUCAACUAGCCGUUGGGAGCAUAUAAGCUCUGAGUGGCGCAGCUAACGCGAUAAGUGACCCACCUGGGGAGUACGAUCGCAAGAUUGAAACUCAAAGGAAUUGACGGGGGCCCGCACAAGCGGUGGAGCAUGUGGUUUAAUUCGAUGAUACGCGAGGAACCUUACCAGGGCUUAAAUGUAAGUUGCAUGAUUUAGAGAUAGAUCCUUCUUCGGACUACUUACAAGGUGCUGCAUGGUUGUCGUCAGCUCGUGCCGUGAGGUGUCAGGUUAAGUCCUAUAACGAGCGCAACCCCUACCGUUAGUUGCCAGCAUGUUAUGAUGGGGACUCUAGCGGGACUGCCGGUGCAAACCGAGAGGAAGGUGGGGAUGACGUCAAAUCAUCACGGCCCUUACGUCCUGGGCUACACACGUGCUACAAUGGUAACGACAGAGGGCAGCCACCCCGCGAGGGGGAGCGAAUCCUAAACGUUAUCUCAGUUCGGAUC